CAAGGAAUAGUUUAUUAAAAAAUUUUAAUUUUGGAGAUUAAAGAAGAGAUUUAUUUUUCUUCCUUGA
This 67-nucleotide transfer RNA is filed under the name Xylotrechus grayii. RNAcentral describes it as "tRNA-Pro". Lineage: Eukaryota; Metazoa; Arthropoda; Insecta; Coleoptera; Cerambycidae. The record is from RNAcentral.